GGAAGUAAAAAGAAAGAACAGCCCUUGAUGGAAACCGAAUGAGAAGCGAAUUAGGAUGUACACUGUCAGAGGCUCGACUUUCAAGUUCAUAAUUAUGGAAAUCAUUGAAAAGAACUGGUCCUUGGAAUUUACUUCAAUUAUUUCAUUGAUAAGAACAUAUCAACCACCUUUAUCUCAGAAGUGAAUAAGAAGCUUUGACCAAAAGGAACAUUUUUCAGGAAAUAUAUUAUACCAGUGGUAAGGGUGAGGAAAUUGAAAAUCAGU
Molecule: long non-coding RNA, 264 nt
Organism: Neofelis nebulosa (Clouded leopard)
Lineage: Eukaryota; Metazoa; Chordata; Mammalia; Carnivora; Felidae
Exons: 3
Source: RefSeq, a predicted model, not a curated record